AGGGCCUGGCCUUUGGUGAAGUGGGGAUGGGGGAAUUAAGUCCCCAAACACCCACUGCUCGCUGGCUUGCCUAGGAAAGGCCCUGGGAACCCUGAGGGGCUACGUAGAGUUGGGUGGCUGGAGGGGCUGCCCAAGUCUAUGUGGCUCAGCAAGGCCCACCCCACACAGCCCAGUCAGAGCAGGGUACACAGGGGCCUCUUCCAAGUAUUCUCAGGUCCGUACCCAGACACGGGUAGUGGCCUCACCCCACACACUGGUCCCUGGCCUUAGUCACUGCACCAUGCCUGGUGCAUCCUAAACCAGAGGGCCAGCGUGUAACAGGUGAUGGCUGCGGCCAGAGAGGACACAGGCAGCCCCUGCUGCUCAUAGACACUACAGUGUUUGUCUGUCUGUUUGUCUGUCAGAUUCCAGAGGGCCAGCGUAUAGCAGGUGAUGGCCACAGCCAGAGAGGGCACAGGCAGCCCCUGCUGCUCAUAAACACUACAGUGUGUGUCUGUCUGUCUGUCUGUCCGUCAGAUUUUUCUUUACUUUUGCACGUGCGCUCUGGGCUUGGAUAUCCAGCCAUGCCUUUGUCCUGCCUGCCAAGCUGGGCUCCAGGCCCCAGAGUGUCCACUCAGACACAUGCCAGUCUGGGCAGGUGGCUACAUUGCUCUCCCAGGCAGAAGGGAACAAAGGACCAGUGGACAUGACAGCCCUAGGAUAUGAUGGGUGGCUAUGAUGAUCACCCAUAUUCCUGGCCUCCAGCCCAUGGAUUCCCCCCGCCUUCCCACACCAGGCCCCUCUCCUGUCUGCAGUUGAGGGUCCAGUUUUGUGCCAUCCCACCCACUGCAGAGCUGAAGGCUGUCAGGGUCCUCCUGGCCACCCACAGACUUCUCCUUGGGGAACCCAGGGCCUCACAGCAGGCAUCUGUGCUACACAGUGGGAAGAGAAAUUGGGACUAUACAGGUGUCUGAGGGCUGGAGCACCCCAGGCCAGCAAAGUGUUACCCAUUUUUGAGCAGUGUGUGCCAAGUGCGCUGGGCCAUGGUGGCCACAGCCAAAGCUCUGGGGCAGCAACCAGCUCACCCGAGUGGUGGGUGGCCGGUUCUGCCCAGGGGAACUGGGUCAGGGGCCCUUGGGACUGUGCCAUACAGGUCAGGGUGGGGACCCCAGCCUCCCUACUUCUGACUCGAUCCUCACCAAGGGAUGGCCCAAUUGCAGGGGACAGGCUGGUUUUUUGUGUCCACCUUGGUGCACUGGGAGUGCCAACCACCAUCCAGCACCCGGUCCAGGGAGCCCAGGCCGGGCCUGUGGUGGCUGACAGCAGCUGCUGUGACCCUUGUAUAUUACACAGUCCUGAUUUCAAACUUCAGCCUAUUUAAGAGAACACUUAAAACACUGUUUUUAACCCUUGUCCUUUGUGAAGCAUGUUCCUGUGUGAGGGGAGGCUCAGGCACCCGACUGAGUGCCAGGCUUCUACAGGCCCUUGGCCCUGGGCGCCAAGGUGUGAGCAGCAGGUCAGGGUCCUGACCCCUUAACCCAGAGGGUCUUGCUGAAGCCACCUUUUCAUAUCUUUCUCUUGAAUUCUGUUUUAAAUCGGAAUAAAUUUUGUUCCUAAA
This 1597-nucleotide long non-coding RNA is filed under the name Rattus norvegicus (Norway rat). RNAcentral's name for it is "long non-coding RNA NONRATT025499". Lineage: Eukaryota; Metazoa; Chordata; Mammalia; Rodentia; Muridae. The record is from RNAcentral.